CCUACGGGGGGCUGCAGUGGGGAAUAUUGGACAAUGGGGGCAACCCUGAUCCAGCCAUGCCGCGUGUGUGAAGAAGGCCCUCGGGUUGUAAAGCACUUUCAGUGAGGAAGAACGCCUGGUGGUUAAUACCCAUCAGGAAAGACAUCACUCACAGAAGAAGCACCGGCUAACUCCGUGCCGGCAGCCGCGGUAAUACGGAGGGUGCGAGCGUUAAUCGGAAUUACUGGGCGUAAAGCGCGCGUAGGUGGCUUGAUAAGCCGGUUGUGAAAGCCCCGGGCUCAACCUGGGAACGGCAUCCGGAACUGUCAAGCUAGAGUGCAGGAGAGGAAGGUAGAAUUCCCGGUGUAGCGGUGAAAUGCGUAGAGAUCGGGAGGAAUACCAGUGGCGAAGGCGGCCUUCUGGACUGACACUGACACUGAGGUGCGAAAGCGUGGGUAGCAAACAGGAUUAGAUACCCCAGUAGUC
This 465-nucleotide ribosomal RNA is filed under the name Vreelandella stevensii. RNAcentral describes it as "partial 16S ribosomal RNA". It matches the Rfam family "Bacterial small subunit ribosomal RNA", at positions 338 to 795 of the family's 1533-position model. Lineage: Bacteria; Pseudomonadati; Pseudomonadota; Gammaproteobacteria; Oceanospirillales; Halomonadaceae. The record is from RNAcentral.